This 1446-nucleotide ribosomal RNA is filed under the name Salinivibrio costicola. RNAcentral's name for it is "bacterial SSU rRNA". It matches the Rfam family "Bacterial small subunit ribosomal RNA". Lineage: Bacteria; Pseudomonadati; Pseudomonadota; Gammaproteobacteria; Vibrionales; Vibrionaceae. The record is from RNAcentral.
ACACAUGCAAGUCGAGCGGAAACGGCAGCAUUGAAGCUUCGGUGGAUUUGCUGGACGUCGAGCGGCGGACGGGUGAGUAACGGCUGGGAACCUGCCCUGACGCGGGGGAUAACCGUUGGAAACGACGGCUAAUACCGCAUAAUGUCUUAGUACAUUACGAGCUGGGACCAUAGGUGGCCUCUACAUGUAAGCUAUCGCGUUGGGAUGGGCCCAGUUAGGAUGAGCUAGUUGGUAAGGUAAUGGCUUACCAAGGCGACGAUCCUUAGCUGGUUUGAGAGGAUGAUCAGCCACACUGGGACUGAGACACGGGCCAGACUCCUACGGGAGGCAGCAGUGGGGAAUAUUGCACAAUGGGGGAGACCCUGAUGCAGCCAUGCCGCGUGUGUGAAGAAGGCCUUCGGGUUGUAAAGCACUUUCAGCAGUGAGGAAGGUGGUGUACUUAAUAAGUGCAUGGCUUGACGUUAGCUGCAGAAGAAGCACCGGCUAACUCCGUGCCAGCAGCCGCGGUAAUACGGAGGGUGCGAGCGUUAAUCGGAAUUACUGGGCGUAAAGCGCAUGCAGGCGGUUUGUUAAGUCAGAUGUGAAAGCCCGGGGCUCAACCUCGGAACCGCAUUUGAAACUGGCAGGCUAGAGUCUUGUAGAGGGGGGUAGAAUUUCAGGUGUAGCGGUGAAAUGCGUAGAGAUCUGAAGGAAUACCAGUGGCGAAGGCGGCCCCCUGGACAAAGACUGACGCUCAGAUGCGAAAGCGUGGGUAGCAAACAGGAUUAGAUACCCUGGUAGUCCACGCCGUAAACGCUGUCUACUUGGAGGUUGAGGUUUUAGACUUUGGCUUUCGGCGCUAACGCAUUAAGUAGACCGCCUGGGGAGUACGGCCGCAAGGUUAAAACUCAAAUGAAUUGACGGGGGCCCGCACAAGCGGUGGAGCAUGUGGUUUAAUUCGAUGCAACGCGAAGAACCUUACCUACUCUUGACAUCCAGCGAAUCCUUUAGAGAUAGAGGAGUGCCUUCGGGAGCGCUGAGACAGGUGCUGCAUGGCUGUCGUCAGCUCGUGUUGUGAAAUGUUGGGUUAAGUCCCGCAACGAGCGCAACCCUUAUCCUUGUUUGCCAGCACGUAAUGGUGGGAACUCCAGGGAGACUGCCGGUGAUAAACCGGAGGAAGGUGGGGACGACGUCAAGUCAUCAUGGCCCUUACGAGUAGGGCUACACACGUGCUACAAUGGCAGAUACAGAGGGCAGCGAAGCUGCGAAGUGGAGCGAAUCCCUUAAAGUCUGUCGUAGUCCGGAUUGGAGUCUGCAACUCGACUCCAUGAAGUCGGAAUCGCUAGUAAUCGUGGAUCAGAAUGCCACGGUGAAUACGUUCCCGGGCCUUGUACACACCGCCCGUCACACCAUGGGAGUGGGCUGCACCAGAAGUAGAUAGCUUAACCUUCGGGAGGGCGUUUACCA